GUAGGUGGCAAGCGUUGUCCGGGAAUUAUUGGGGCGUAAAGCGCGCGCAGGCGGUUCUUUAAGUCUGAUGUGAAAGCUCACGGGCUCAACCGUGGAGGGUCAUUGGAAACUGGAGAACUUGAGUACAGAAGAGGAAAGCGGAAUUCCACGUGUAGCGGUGAAAUGCGUAGAGAUGUGGAGGAACACCAGUGGCGAAGGCGGCUUUCUGGUCUGUAACUGACGCUGAGGCGCGAAAGCGUGGGGAGCAAACAGGAUUAGAUACCCUGGUAGUCCACGCCGUAAACGAUGAGUGCUAAGUGUUAGGGGGUUUCCGCCCCUUAGUGCUGCAGCUAACGCAUUAAGCACUCCGCCUGGGGAGUACGGCCGCAAAGGCUGA
This 376-nucleotide ribosomal RNA is filed under the name uncultured organism. Its description in RNAcentral is "partial 16S ribosomal RNA". It matches the Rfam family "Bacterial small subunit ribosomal RNA", at positions 527 to 897 of the family's 1533-position model. The record is from RNAcentral.